This 376-nucleotide ribosomal RNA is filed under the name uncultured bacterium. RNAcentral describes it as "bacterial SSU rRNA". It matches the Rfam family "Bacterial small subunit ribosomal RNA", at positions 28 to 392 of the family's 1533-position model. The record is from RNAcentral.
GACGAACGCUGGCGGCGUGCCUAAUACAUGCAAGUCGAGCGGAGUAAAAAGCGUGCUUGCACGGUUUUUAUUUAGCGGCGAACGGGUGAGUAACACGUAGGUAACCUGGCCAUAAGACAGGGAUAACGCACGGAAACGUGAGCUAAAACCAGAUAGGCAUUUCCACGCAUGAGGGAGAUGAGAAAGGCGGAGCAAUCUGCCGCUUAUGGAUGGACCUGCGUCGCAUUAGCUAGUUGGAGUGGUAAAGGCACACCAAGGCGACGAUGCGUAGCCGACCUGAGAGGGUGAGCGGCCACACUGGGACUGAGACACGGCCCAGACUCCUACGGGAGGCAGCAGUAGGGAAUCUCUGCAAUGGACGAAAGCCUGACGGAGC